UACGAAGGGGGCUAGCGUUGCUCGGAAUUACUGGGCGUAAAGGGCGCGUAGGCGGAUAGUUUAGUCAGAGGUGAAAGCCCAGGGCUCAACCUUGGAAUUGCCUUUGAUACUGGCUAUCUUGAGUUCGGGAGAGGUGAGUGGAAUGCCGAGUGUAGAGGUGAAAUUCGUAGAUAUUGGGAAGAACACCGGUGGCGAAGGCGGCUCACUGGCUCGUAACUGACGCUCAUGCACGACAGCGUGGGGAUCAAACAGG
RNAcentral lists this ribosomal RNA (253 nucleotides) under uncultured bacterium. Its description in RNAcentral is "partial 16S ribosomal RNA". It matches the Rfam family "Bacterial small subunit ribosomal RNA", at positions 524 to 776 of the family's 1533-position model. The record is from RNAcentral.